GCCUGGCUACAGACUAGUCUGAUAGUGGAGCGGAUCGAUGGGAGCUUGCUCCCUGAGAUCAGCGGCGGACGGGUGAGUAACACGUGGGUAACCUGCCUGUAAGACUGGGAUAACUCCGGGAAACCGGGGCUAAUACCGGAUAACACCUACCCCCGCAUGGGGGAAGGUUGAAAGGUGGCUUCGGCUAUCACUUACAGAUGGACCCGCGGCGCAUUAGCUAGUUGGUGAGGUAAUGGCUCACCAAGGCGACGAUGCGUAGCCGACCUGAGAGGGUGAUCGGCCACACUGGGACUGAGACACGGCCCAGACUCCUACGGGAGGCAGCAGUAGGGAAUCUUCCGCAAUGGACGAAAGUCUGACGGAGCAACGCCGCGUGAGUGAAGAAGGUUUUCGGAUCGUAAAACUCUGUUGUUAGGGAAGAACAAGUGCCGUUCGAAUAGGGCGGCGCCUUGACGGUACCUAACCAGAAAGCCACGGCUAACUACGUGCCAGCAGCCGCGGUAAUACGUAGGUGGCAAGCGUUGUCCGGAAUUAUUGGGCGUAAAGCGCGCGCAGGUGGUUUCUUAAGUCUGAUGUGAAAGCCCACGGCUCAACCGUGGAGGGUCAUUGGAAACUGGGGAACUUGAGUGCAGAAGAGGAAAGUGGAAUUCCAAGUGUAGCGGUGAAAUGCGUAGAUAUUUGGAGGAACACCAGUGGCGAAGGCGACUUUCUGGUCUGUAACUGACACUGAGGCGCGAAAGCGUGGGGAGCAAACAGGAUUAGAUACCCUGGUAGUCCACGCCGUAAACGAUGAGUGCUAAGUGUUAGAGGGUUUCCGCCCUUUAGUGCUGCAGCUAACGCAUUAAGCACUCCGCCUGGGGAGUACGGUCGCAAGACUGAAACUCAAAGGAAUUGACGGGGGCCCGCACAAGCGGUGGAGCAUGUGUUUUAAUUCGAAGCAACGCGAAGAACCUUACCAGGUCUGACAUCUCUGACAACCCUAGAGAUAGGGCUUUCCCUCGGGGACAGAGUGACAGUGGUGCAUGUGUCGUCAGCUCGUGUCUGAGAUUGUGGGUAGUCCCGCAACGAGCGCCACCCUUGAUCUAGCUGGCAGCAAUCCAGUGGCACUCUAAGAAUGACUGGCGUUGACCACGGAGGAGGUGGGAUGACGUUCAAUCUCAUGCUAGACCUGCCUACACGUCUACAGUUGACGUAUCAAAUGAGCU
Molecule: ribosomal RNA, 1205 nt
Filed under: Rossellomorea marisflavi
Lineage: Bacteria; Bacillati; Bacillota; Bacilli; Caryophanales; Bacillaceae
Description: bacterial SSU rRNA
Rfam family: Bacterial small subunit ribosomal RNA
Source: RNAcentral